This is a long non-coding RNA of Etheostoma cragini (Arkansas darter), 116 nucleotides long. RefSeq lists it as uncharacterized. The transcript has 3 exons. NCBI's taxonomy places the organism in Eukaryota, Metazoa, Chordata, Actinopteri, Perciformes, Percidae. The record is from RefSeq and is a predicted model, not a curated record.
AAUAAUCAAUCAUUUAAAAAAAAAGAAGUCAUUCAGUGUCCAAAUCCUCAAAGCACAUAUACUUGAUCAUAAGUAGCAACACGUUGGGUUUGUAAUAGACGAGGUGGUUAAACCAA